This 1234-nucleotide ribosomal RNA is filed under the name metagenome. RNAcentral's name for it is "bacterial LSU rRNA". It matches the Rfam family "Bacterial large subunit ribosomal RNA", at positions 1564 to 2808 of the family's 2925-position model. The record is from RNAcentral.
UGAAUACGAGACGCUAAGGCGUCGAAGUAGUGUAUGUCAUACUUCCAAGAAAAGCUUGCACUGUCAUAGAUAAAAAACGCCUGUACCAUAACCGACACAGGUGGGUAGGUAGAGUAUACUAAGGGGCGCGAGAUAACUCUCUCUAAGGAACUCGGCAAAAUAACUCCGUAACUUCGGGAGAAGGAGUGCCUUAUUCUUAAGGUUGCAAUAACAAGAUCCAAGCAACUGUUUAUCAAAAACACAGGUCUCCGCUAAGUCGUAAGACGAUGUAUGGGGGCUGACGCCUGCCCAGUGCCAGAAGGUUAAAGAAGCUGGUUAGCAUUUGCGAAGCUAGUAACUGAAGCCCUGGUGAACGGCGGCCGUAACAAUAACGGUCCUAAGGUAGCGAAAUUCCUUGUCGGGUAAGUUCCGACCCGCACGAAAGGCGUAAUGAUUUGGAUACUGUCUCGGAGAGGGGCUCGGUGAAAUAGAUUUGUCUGUGAAGAUGCGGACUACCUGCACCAGGACAGAAAGACCCUAUGAAGCUUUACUGUAACUUGAAAUUGAAAUUGGACUUUAUUCGCGCAGUAUAGGUGGGAGGCGUUGAUUAUAAUCUUGCGGGAUUAUUGGAGCCAUUAGUGAGAUACCACUCUUGUAAUGUUAGAUUUCUAACUUUGAAUCAUUAUCUGGUCAAAGAACAGUUUCAGGCGGGCAGUUUGACUGGGGCGGUCGCCUCCCAAACGGUAACGGAGGCGUACAAAGGUUUCCUCUGAACGGUUAGAAAUCGUAUCUAGAGUGUAAAGGCAUAAGGAAGCUUGACUGUGAGACCUACAAGUCGAGCAGGGACGAAAGUCGGUCUUAGUGAUCUGACGGUACUGAGUGGAAAGGCCGUCACUCAACGGAUAAAAGUUACUCUAGGAUAACAGGCUGAUCUCCCCCAAGAGUUCACAUCGACGGGGAGGUUUGGCACCUCGAUGUCGGCUCAUCGCAUCCUGGGGCGGUAGUACGUCCCAAGGGUUGGGCUGUUCGCCCAUGAAAGCGGUACGCGAGCUGGGUUCAGAACGUCGUGAGACAGUUCGGUCCAUAUCCGGUGUAGGCGUUAGAAUAUUGAGAGGAGCCUUCUUUAGUACGAGAGGACCGAGAAGGACAUACCUCUGGUGUACCAGUUAUCGUGCCAACGGUAGACGCUGGGUAGCUAUGUAUGGAGUGGAUAACCGCUGAAAGCAUCUAAGUGGGAAGCCCACCUCAAGAUAAG